Molecule: small nuclear RNA, 244 nt
Organism: Candida albicans SC5314
Lineage: Eukaryota; Fungi; Ascomycota; Pichiomycetes; Serinales; Debaryomycetaceae
Source: RefSeq, a predicted model, not a curated record
AUACUUACCUAGAGAAAUUACAGGAGAUCAAGUAGUCUUGUAAUCGUUAUUAUGAUAUAAUGGCACUCACUUUAGACAUUGCACAUUACGUCAUUGGGGUGUUUUAUCUAGUAACGCCAACUUUCAUUAAUGAUCUGAAUCAUUUGAUGGAGGCUCUGGUGAUGUUCUUUAUGGGCAGAAUUGGAGUUUCUUGAUGGAUGAUUCGGGUUAGAAAGUGUGGGUCUUUUAAUUUUUGAUUUAUUUC